GACGAACGCUGGCGGCGUGCCUAACACAUGCAAGUCGAACGGAACUGUUUUGAAAGAUUUCUUCGGAAUGAAUUUGAUUUAGUUUAGUGGCGGACGGGUGAGUAACGCGUGAGUAACCUGCCUUCAAGAGGGGGAUAACAUUCUGAAAAGAAUGCUAAUACCGCAUGACAUAUCGGAAUCACAUGGUUUUGAUAUCAAAGAUUUUAUCGCUUGAAGAUGGACUCGCGUCCGAUUAGUUAGUUGGUGAGGUAACGGCUCACCAAGACCGCGAUCGGUAGCCGGACUGAGAGGUUGAACGGCCACAUUGGGACUGAGACACGGCCCAGACUCCUACGGGAGGCAGCAGUGGGGGAUAUUGCGCAAUGGGGGCAACCCUGACGCAGCAACGCCGCGUGAAGGAUGAAGGUUUUCGGAUUGUAAACUUCUUUUAUUAAGGACGAAACUUGACGGUACUUAAUGAAUAAGCUC
This 468-nucleotide ribosomal RNA is filed under the name uncultured bacterium. RNAcentral describes it as "bacterial SSU rRNA". It matches the Rfam family "Bacterial small subunit ribosomal RNA", at positions 28 to 493 of the family's 1533-position model. The record is from RNAcentral.